AGUAAAAGUCGUAACAAGGUCUCCGUAGGUGAACCUGCGGAGGGAUCAUUACACAACAAAAUAUGAAGGUCUGGCUUCGCGGCCGGCUGAAGUAUUUUUUUUCACCCAUGUCUUUUGCGCACUUGUUGUUUCCUGGGCGGGUUCGCCCGCCACCAGGACCAAACCAUAAACCUUUUUUUUAUGUAGUUGCAAUCAGCGUCAGUAAAAACAAUGUAAUUAUUACAACUUUCAACAACGGAUCUCUUGGUUCUGGCAUCGAUGAAGAACGCAGCGAAAUGCGAUACGUAGUGUGAAUUGCAGAAUUCAGUGAAUCAUCGAAUCUUUGAACGCACAUUGCGCCCUUUGGUAUUCCAAAGGGCAUGCCUGUUCGAGCGUCAUUUGUACCUUCAAGCUUUGCUUGGUGUUGGGCGUUUUUGUCUCUCGUUCUCGGGAGACUCGCCUUAAAACGAUUGGCAGCCGGCCUACUGGUUUCGGAGCGCAGCACAUAUUUUUGCGCUUUGUAUCAGGAGAAAAGGACGGUAAUCCAUCAAGACUACAUUUUUUUUUAACUUUUGACCUCGGAUCAGGUAGGGAUACCCGCUGAACUUAAGCAUAUCAAUAAGCGGAGGAAAAGAAACCAACAGGGAUUGCCCCAGUAACG
This 640-nucleotide ribosomal RNA is filed under the name uncultured fungus. RNAcentral's name for it is "eukaryotic LSU rRNA". The stretch from base 224 to 377 matches the Rfam family "5.8S ribosomal RNA". Lineage: Eukaryota; Fungi. The record is from RNAcentral.